AAGUCGUAACAAGGUUUCCGUAGGUGAACCUGCGGAAGGAUCAUUCAUAAUAAGUGUUUUACUGCACUUUUUAAAAAUAGUACUCACCUUGUGUGCAAUGUUGUGUUUCUUUUCGGAGAAACACCUACACCAACCUAUAACCUUGAACCACUUUGUCUGAAAAACUAUUAUGAAUACUUAAUUCAAAAUACAACUUUCAACAACGGAUCUCUUGGCUCUCGCAUCGAUGAAGAACGCAGCGAAAUGCGAUACGUAAUGUGAAUUGCAGAAUUCAGUGAAUCAUCGAAUCUUUGAACGCACAUUGCACUCUCUGGUAUUCCGGAGAGUAUGCUUGUUUGAGUAUCAGUAAACACCUCAAGUCUCUUCUCUAGGGAAGAGAAUUGGACUUGAGCAAUCCCAACUCUUUGCAAAAAGAGGCGGGUUGCUUGAAAUGCAGGUGCAGCUGGACAUUCUUCUGAGCUAAAAGCAUAUUUAUUUAGUCCCGUCAAACGGAUGAUUACNUUUGCUCUAGCUAANAUAAAGGUCGAAUGCGCUAAUGCNNNNNUUUAAAUCUGGCUGGUUUACUANNNNNAAUNNUAGNUUAAAGAAGCGUUUUCGGUGGCAGUCUCNGNNUAAUCUUUGGAAUAGGGUAUCAUAGAGGGUGAGAAUCCCGUCUUUGACUGAGAAUUUGCUACUAUGUGAUACGUUUUCAAAGAGUCGAGUUGUUUGGGAAUGCAGCUCAAAAUGGGUGGUAAAUUUCAUCUAAAGCUAAAUAUUGGCGAGAGACCGAUAGCGAACAAGUACCGUGAGGGAAAGAUGAAAAGAACUUUGAAAAGAGAGUUAAACAGUGCGUGAAAUUGUUGAAAGGGAAACGCUUGAAACCAGUCAUGUGGUUGGAAAAUCAGUGUUCAAGAGGGGGGAAUGGGGGAGGUGGGGACCGCAAGGCUGCUCUUUUCUAUAUCUCUUUUGUUGGGCAUGCACUUUUUCUUCUGCAGGUCAACAUCAGUUUCUUUUGCUGGACAAAACUCUUGAGAAGGUAGCAGCUUAGGCUGUGUUAUAGCUCUGGAGCGAUACAGUGGAGGAGACUGAGGUUUUCGCAGCAUGUGCUCUCGGGCAAGGCCAAUUGGGUGCUAUGGGAUCGUUCGGGGUACAAUACAUGUAUUUUGCCUCGUGUCCUUUCUAUACUCGUUCAGUUGAGCUCUUCCAUGCUUAGGAUGUUGACUUAAUGGUUUUAAUCGACCCGUCUUGAAACACGGACC
This 1238-nucleotide ribosomal RNA is filed under the name uncultured fungus. RNAcentral's name for it is "eukaryotic LSU rRNA". The stretch from base 497 to 1238 matches the Rfam family "Eukaryotic large subunit ribosomal RNA", at positions 1 to 667 of the family's 3401-position model. The record is from RNAcentral. Lineage: Eukaryota; Fungi.